UGGGCACGUCCGGGGGGGUCUAGGAAGGACGGAACUGACGUCAUAAACAGGCACGGUUGCAGUGCAGGCGGAAAUGAAUGAAUGGAUUUACAAACCGGAAGUGCUAAUCGUGGGCAGCGCCCGCACCGCACGGGACCGGCAGUAGCGGCAACCGCGGAAGGGCGGGAAUCACCUAUUGCAAAUCAGAACGAACCGCAACCUUUGGGGAGGAGCUGGGAUUUUCCUGCCGGAAGUAGUGAACGAGGUCGGCGAAGGGGGGACUCCAGGCCGGAAGUAAGGGCUGAAGUAACGUUUUUUGACAGCGGAUGAUGCUCCCCUUUCAGAAGCGGAAAUAAGUCGAGUUCCUAGUCCUUUGCGUCAUUUCCGCUCUGGGCGGCUGUCUCUGCGGCGGAUUCCGGAGGCUCAUGAAUAGUGGUGUUGGUUGAUUGACAGCGUUUCCCGCUGCCCUGCCCCAGGGCGUGGUCCCGCUACCUCCCGGCCCGCGAGAGCGGCCCCAUGCGGAGCCCGGCGGGGCGGGGAGCAGCGUGGGCUGGGCUGGGCUGUGUGUCCCGCCGGAGGGAAGGGCCCUGGGGGAGGCUGCGAGCCAAGUAGCUGGUGCAGACGUGCCCCCAGUCUCGGCCCUGCAGCUUCUGUAGGGCCUGCGGGGACUCCUCCAGUGGCUUGGCUGAGGGUCUGGCACUUCUGGCGCGACAACCCCACCCCCACCACACACUCCCCCGAGGUGGGCCCAGGCGCUGUGUACAGGCCAGAGGGCUGGACUGAGGGUUGGGGACCAUCCUCACUCCCCUCGCCUCUUCGCUGCCUGCACAGGUCCUCUUCUGUUGGUUGUCUGGGCACGCAGGGAGUUUGGGGCCCGAGGGCUUUCUGUGCUGCACAGGCAAGACUCUGUAUGGAGCCAGUGUGGGGGCUAUGGCAGAUAUUGCAAUCCCAGGCCAAAUCCCUGCAGACCACUGUGACCUUGCACUCCAUAAUGUUUUAUGGAAAUAUGCUUAUGGGUGUAAAUAUGAUAUAACUGGAAUAUGCAUUAUGCAAAAGGUCUUUUGUAAGAUAUCAUUACAAAGGUUAUAAUCUACUGAGUGCGUUCAUCCUAUUUGUAUGUAUCAUUCUUGUAUCUGAAAAUAGAAAUAUAAAGUAUAACUGAGGUCCUCUUGUAAUUAUGCAAAGUGUGGGCCAUUAAUGGUGGGUUAGAAUCUUGAUGGCUCCCACUGACUAGAACAAUUGGUUGUAAAUGGCUCUGUUUACCUGCAAGCCUUCCUGUGUUCCUGUGAGCCAGCCCAGGAAGAAUGAUGGAAUCCAUCUUAGACCUGGUGCUUUUCUAUUUAGAAGGAGGGGUGGGAAUCCAGAGAGACAAAAGAUUCCUGCCUUGUGCCAAAGCUAUAAAAGUGGGUGGAAGAGAACAAAGAGGAUCCUAGUCCUGAAAAAGACCCUGCUUUUCACCUAAGAUGCCUGCUGGAACUAGCAAGGACUGGGCCGGGGAAAGGAUUGGGCCCAGACUAGGAAGGAGUCUAGUCUAUGAAAGAAGCUCAUUGGAACAUCUCUGAGGCAAACAGGCAGGACUUCAAGGGCUCCAACACUUGUGGAAGGGCUGGAAGAACUUUGGAUUGCUAGAGCCCUAUCAGACUGCUGGUGAGUAACCUCUGGGAAUUAAAGGUUUGUCAGUUUACAGCCCAUGGAUGAGAUGACGCUGAGUGGCCCGAAGGGGUCUACUACGAAGGAAAAAGUGACAGUGGUGUGGAAGAGGUGAACCACUCCAUGACCCUUGGUUGUAUGCAGCGACAGCAGAUCAAGGAGCUGUGCACUAGCUUCACACCGAUGAUCUUAGCCACCCCAGGAUCAACCGAAAGGGCAUACCACUCCAUUGACACAGGUAAUGCUCACCCAAUUAGAGCCCAACCUUACCAGGUGUCUCCUCAAGCCAAAACUGCUAUAGAACGGAGAUCCAGAACAUGCUACAAAUGGGUGUAAUCCACCCCUCUAACAGUGCAUGGUCGUCUCCAGUGGUUCUAGUUCCCAAACCAGAUGGGGAGAUACGUUUUUGCGUGGACUACUAUAAGCUAAAUGCUGUAACUCACCCAGACAACUAUCCAAUGCCACUCAAAGAUGAGCUAUUGGAGAAACUGGGGCGGGCCCAGUUCAUCUCUACCUUAGACUUAACCAAGGGGUACUGGCAAGUACCACUGGAUGAAUCCGCCAAGGAAAGGUCAGCCUUCAUCACCCAUGUAGGGCUGUAUGAAUUUUAAUAUGCUCCCUUUUGGGCUGCGAAAUGCACCUGCUACUUUCCAGAAGCUUGUAGAUAGUCUCCUAGCAGGAUUAGGAGAAUCUGCAGUCGCCUACCUUGACUAUGUGGCCAUCUUUUCUGAUUCAUGGGCAGAACACCUGGAGCAUCUGCAAAAAGUCUGCAUAAGGCAGGCAGGACUAAACGUUAAGGCUAAAAAGCAUCAAAUAGGCCUAAACAGAGUGACUUACCUUGGACACCAGGUGGGUCAAGGAACUAUCAACCCCCUACAGGCUAAAGUGAAUGCUAUCCAAAAGUGGCCUGUCCCAAAGUCAAAGAAACAGAUCCAAUCCUUCUUAGGCUUGGCUGGAUAUUACAGGCGAUUUGUACCACACUACAGCCAAAUUGCCGCCCCACUGACAGAUUUAACCAAAAAGAAACAGCCAGAUGCAGUUCAGUGGACUGAAGUGUCUCAGAACGCCUUUCACCAGCUUAAAGCGACACUCAUCUCUGACCCUGUGCUAAGGGCUCCAGACUUUGACAAACCUUUCCUGGUCACUAUAGAUGCAUCCGAGCGUGGUGUAGGAGCAGUUUUAAUGCAGGAAGGACCGGAUCAAGAAUUCCAUCCUGUUGUAUUUCUCAGCAAAAAAAACUGUCUGAGAGGGAAAGCCACUGGUCAAUCAGCGAAAAGGAAUGUUACGCCAUUGUCUACGCUCUGGAGAAGCUAUGCCCAUACGUUUGGGGACGGUGUUUCCACCUGCAAACCGACCAUGCUGCGCUACAGUGGCUUUGUAUCGUCAAGGACAAUAACAAAAAACUUCUUCAGUGGAGUUUAGCUCUUCAAGAUUUUGAGUUUGAAAUACAACACAUUUCAGGAACUUCUAACAAAGUGGCUGAUGCACUCUCCUGUGAAAGUUUCCCAGAAUCAACUGGUUAAAAUCAUCCUUGAAAUGUGAAAAAUAUUGUGAAUUUUUAUGUAAUCAGUAGUAUAUCUAAAGGUGUAUGUGUCUUAUUUAUUCUGUUUUCUCCUAGAGCUCCAGGAAGAAAUCACAGUCAGUGUGAAGCAGGCUGUCCAGCACGGUCUAUGAUUUGCGGGGCAUGUCAUAAACAUACAGCUAAGGGUAUCAUAAAAUCCCUCCUUACCUGUAAAGUGUUAAGAAGCUCAGGUAACCUGGUUGGCACCUGACCAAAAAGACCAAUAAGGGGAGAAGAUACUUUCAAAUCUGUGGGGGAUGGUUUUUGCUUUGUUCUCUUUGUUGGUUCUCUCUGGGUCAGCAAGGAAUGAGGACAGGGAAAAUACAUCUCCCAAAGCCCUACUUGAACUAAGCAUCUAGAUUACAAAAAUUGUAAGCAAAGCAAGGAAAUGCAUUAGUUUAUCUUUUGUUUUAGCUUGUGAAUUUUCCCUGUGCUGCAGGGAGGUUUAUCCCUGUUUUUUUGUAACUUAAGUUUUGCUUAGAGGGAAAUCCUCUGUGUUUUGAAUCUGAUUAUCCUGUAAAAUUACCUUCCAUCCUAAUUUUACAGAGAUGCUUCUUUUACUCUUUUUUCUGUAUAAUAAAGUUUUGUUUUUUAA
Long non-coding RNA from Chelonia mydas (Green sea turtle), 3785 nucleotides. RefSeq lists it as uncharacterized. NCBI's taxonomy places the organism in Eukaryota, Metazoa, Chordata, Testudines, Cheloniidae. The record is from RefSeq and is a predicted model, not a curated record. The transcript has 3 exons.